Salvia miltiorrhiza (redroot sage) is the source of this 709-nucleotide long non-coding RNA. RefSeq lists it as uncharacterized. The transcript has 3 exons. Lineage: Eukaryota; Viridiplantae; Streptophyta; Magnoliopsida; Lamiales; Lamiaceae. The record is from RefSeq and is a predicted model, not a curated record.
UUGAGUGAGUGCACUAAUAUUAGUGCUAUAAUUAUUUUAUUUUGGUCACAUGAAUAAUUAUACUAUGGUACUUUAUUAAUGAGUAAUAUUUCCAUAGUUUUUGUGAUUAUUAUUUAAUCACCCUUCUCACAUGAUUUAUUUUUAAUUUCCCAAGUAUGAGACUAAUUACUAAAAUUUACUAAGUGUAGAGAUUGAGAGAGUAGAGAUUUAGAGAGUAGAGAUUAGAGAGAGUGUAGAGAUUAGAGAGAGAGAGAUCAAGGCAUUAAUUGCCAAAUAUUUCAUAAGAUUCUCAAAUCCUCUUUAAAGAUUCACAAAUCUUUUAUAAGAUUACCAAGAUCAUUUCAUAUCUUGCAAAUUCCUCUCUCUCCUUCUCCCCUAACUUUCGACCACCACCUCUCUCCCCUUCAUCUCUCUACUUUCCACCAUUUUCCUCCAUUGAUGCACCUUCGGAGCUUCACAAAUUCAUACCAAAACUCAAAUCACCCUCUAAAUCCACCUUAAACACCUUCCAUCUCCUUAGAUUCAAGAAGAUCCAUGGAGAUUCAAUCUUGAAGUUAGUGAGAGAAAAUUUGAUAUUUGGUGUAAACUUGGACACGAGCAGAGCAGGGAAGUAAGUAACUCCGCUUUGACGGGAGUUUUUGAGUAAGGUCUUCAGGCUAAGCGAGGAGUGAGAUUGGUCUGGUGCUGGUGGGGGAUCGUUAGAUGACGU